Non-coding RNA from Myodes glareolus (Bank vole), 3026 nucleotides. The record is from RefSeq and is a predicted model, not a curated record. NCBI's taxonomy places the organism in Eukaryota, Metazoa, Chordata, Mammalia, Rodentia, Cricetidae.
CUGAGACGUCUCAGCAUACACACAGAGUAGAGAAUUGCGUAUAUUGAUUCAAUAGAGAGAUUAAACAAUGGGGACUAGAUGGUCUUGCAGAGUGUUUCCUAAAGAAGAGCAAAUGACGACCGCUCAAGAAGAGGAGACAAGAUCAUCAUUAGUUAAGGUGCAGCCUCAGAAGAGCAGCCCCCUGCUCCCUGGGCAAGCUGUGCAGACCUUGAAGGUUGAAUAUUGGGAAGCUCCAUUCAUGGUCAAGAUCCAGUCCCGAAAGAGAAGAUCCUGUAUGUAUUCUGGCAUAACUUCCUUAGGGCACAGUUUUCUUAGAGGAGAAUGUUGUAAAUGCCGGUUGUCCUUUGCCUGCUCACCACUAUUUUUUUUUCUUUUAGUAGCUGACUGUCAAUGGAGACAGCCAGUGUAGCCUAAAUAACAAAACAGCAACUGGUACCCAAUAACAAAUCAAGUUCACGCCCCACUAAUCCCUGCAUUUACCUCCAAAAUUUCCUUCUCUGGAGAUGUCUGCAAGUGGGUUUCCCCUAUUACCUCCCAGUCUAUCGCCCAAUCUUCACCACAAAGUCAGAAUUCACACUUUGCCUACAUUACAUUGUUGCAACUUCGACCAGUCAUAUAUGGGAGAUUUCUCAGCUUACCCUCUCAACUUAGGAACCAAGCAAGAUGCCAGGUUGUGCCUGGAAUCAGUCAGGCAAGCUAUGGAGGGCUGGAGCAAAUGGGUUUCCAAAUAUGAGGUGUCACCCUCUACCUAAUGCCUCACCAGGACAUGAGUCACUAGGGAAGAGGUCUACCUCCCAAGAAAACCCAGAAAAAGGACAACCUGCAGAGAAUAAAAACACUGCGAUUCCUGCCAUGCACACCAGACACCUGGUGCAGGGUCCAUGCACCUGUCUGCAUGUCUCCACAGCUGUGAGUGGCUAAGAAAGCCCAGGUGUGCUGGAAGAAAAUUGCACAGCCUAUCUCUCAUGAGAUCCUGAGUUUGUUCCUCUGUUCUGUGUAAACUGGGUUAUUGUGGCACUCUGCAGGUCAGAGGCUCAAGGUCAACUCCAGUCUCAUGUCAAGCCAGUGACAUGAGAUGAUGUGUGGAAACAGCAACCACCGUGAUGAAACCCAGAAAAGAGUCCACCUGAAUCUGGUCACAGUGAAACAUACAAUCAGAAAAGUCUAUACUCAAAGACAAAGUGGAUGUGUGUCAUAAUUGGGUUCCGUUUAAACACGGCUAAUUCUAGUAAUAACUGGUAUCAUACAUCAUCAAUAAGGAGGUCUUUAUUAUACACACACAGGACCACACACUCUGCUAUGGCCUUCUAUCUACAAAGAACUCCAAUGCCAAGUUAUCACUCAAGGCUCCUUGACCAUUCUUUUUCAAAGACAUGCUAGACUCUAUGCCUAUAAAUACUUCCCAGCACAGAGUCAGAUUCCGUGUUGACUGACGAGUGUGAGCAAAGGAAGCAGACACAGAGAUCUCCAUCCACUCACUGUAUACACACAGUCAGAACUGACUGGUGUAUGACCUCAUGACAUCAUUUCUCAACUACCUGGUGUUUCAAGCAGUUUUUGCUUUGAGGCAUUGGAAAGGAGGAUUUUGGUCAAGGGGAGUUAACACUGUCUUUUGCCUGGAUGGCCUGUAUAGGGUGGAGGUGACUUUUGUCUAGAAACUGGACUUUGGUGAGGAAGGCCACAGCCUGAAAGGUGCACACACAGACUAACACAGCAUUCUUCCAUUCUCCCAGCUGGGCCCAAGCCAGGUUCAUGAGAUUCUGAGGUGACUGUCAUCAGAAAGGGGUGUGAGGACACAAAGUCCAUUAAAUGAUCAGAGCACCAAGCCUCUUGUCCUAGAACUUGAUGUUAUAGGAGUUUGUGUAAAGUUGGUCAACUGAAGGGAAGUGUCUUUGUCUCAAACAUUGUGUGACAACCAAGUUAGAAUGGCUCGGAGCCUGAGUCACUGUGUGCUCUCCUCCCCAUGUGCUUGUCUUUCCAUUGCACACGUCCACUGAGAGACAGCCGAGAGCAUGAAGGUAGAACUCCCCUGGAUCCAUCACACCGUGGGCAUGGCAGGAAGUGGCCUCUCUUGUUUUAUAGAUGGAAAAAUAGGAACUGCAAUAUUUAAUUUAAUGAAGUGGUUAGGUAGCAAUGAAAUGAAGGUGACUGAAAGAGGAAGAGGUGAGAAGUAGCAGGUGUAGAUGGCGCCUUUCCUGCCUCCUCCUUGGAGGUGAUAUUAUGCGCUUCCCUGAAACUGGAAACAUCGUGAUUGGGAAAAAGAUGAAGAGCACUGUGUGCUGCCCAAAGGCUGUGCGAACACCGUCUCUGGUUCUAGCCCUGAGGUCUAGCUGAUUCUCUGGCACUUAGGAGACUACACACAGCUCUUCUGUAGACUUGUGCUUUUCUUUACGGCUUUACAGUCAUUGGGUUUUCGUUGUUGAUGUUUUUUGUUAUUGUUGUUGUAUUGUAGGCUCACUGGAGUUAAAAAUGAGUCCUCAAGAGAAAUGUCAGCUUUGAAAGAAUGGAGUAUGAGGAAUUGCACAAAUUUACCUCUGUUCAAGUGUCUUUUAAAGCUAUUUGCAUGUGGGUACCUGGUACCAUGCCCACACCCACACUCACAGUACUCUACCCUGUCUACUGACCACCCAUACACACUGACGCUUCCCUACACUUACCAUGGAGUGGAUAGGUGAAGUGUACACAGGUCUCAGAGGUCGUCCAAGAGUAUCAAUGGGAACAGAUGAUUGUACUUCAAGAAAGUAAUGAUGUCAAUGCUCAAACACAGAGCAGUUAUGGGUUUUCAUGGAUUUCUUCAAAAUAUUCAGCUCUUAACUUUUUUUCCCUGUGAUGGCGGCCAGUGUCAGCCAUCAUGAAAAGGCUACAAUUAACCAACAAACACUCCUUGAGGCAGCGUGUCUUCACCGUAACACAACAUCCUCCUGAAAAAGAGCAGCAAUGCAGCUUCAUGAAAGAAGACCAAGUGGAGCAGGAGCAUGAUGAGGACAAUCUCAGUCUGCUGAUCAAGAGUGAGGAAGGGGUGAUCG